UACGAAGGGGGGCUAGCGUUGCUCGGAAUCACUGGGCGUAAAGCGCACGUAGGCGGACUCUUAAGUCGGGGGUGAAAUCCUGGAGCUCAACUCCAGAACUGCCUUUGAUACUGAGGAUCUUGAGUUCGGGAGAGGUGAGUGGAACUGCGAGUGUAGAGGUGAAAUUCGUAGAUAUUCGCAAGAACACCAGUGGCGAAGGCGGCUCACUGGCCCGAUACUGACGCUGAGGCACGAAAGCGUGGGGGAGCAAACAGG
This 255-nucleotide ribosomal RNA is filed under the name uncultured bacterium. RNAcentral's name for it is "partial 16S ribosomal RNA". It matches the Rfam family "Bacterial small subunit ribosomal RNA", at positions 524 to 776 of the family's 1533-position model. The record is from RNAcentral.